GGCGCUUAUAAGCAACGGCAGGCUAGGCUGCUGCCAACAGCGGAGGACUCCUUCCACGUCCCGCCCGAGCCGCCCGCUCCCCGGCAACCGCAGCUCCAGCGACGCCCCCUCCUCCCCACUACUAGUAGUAGAGUCCACCCACCACACAGGCACAUCCCCUACCCGGAGAGGCAGAGAGAGCUCUCCUCGUGGACUAGGGACUAGAAGAGGAGGAGAGCCAUGUCUGCCGCAGCCUGCGCGCCGACGCGGCUCGGGAUAUCGCUCGCGUUCGCCGACCGGAUGGCGCCGCCGCCGCCCCAGCCGCCGGCGCUCGAGGAGGAGGACCCGGCCGGCGAGGGGUGCGUGAACGCGCAGCUCUGGCUCGCGUGCGCGGGCUCCAUGUGCACCGUCCCGCCUGUCGGCGCCGCAGUCUACUACUUCCCGCAGGGCCACGCGGAGCAGGCCAGCGACGCCGUCGACGUGCUGUCCGCCGCGCGCGGCGUCCCGCCCUUCGUCCCGUGCCGCGUCGUCGCCGUCAGGUACAUGGCCGAGCCACACACCGACGAGGUCUUCGCCAGGAUACGCCUCGCCCCGCUCCGCCCCGGGGAGCCCGUGGCGGACGUCGGCGACGCCGCCGCGGGCGAGGCCGGGGACGACCACCAGCACCAGCACCAGCACCAGCCCAAGCCGGCGUCCUUCGCCAAGACGCUCACGCAGUCCGACGCCAACAACGGCGGCGGCUUCUCCGUGCCGCGCUUCUGCGCCGAGACCAUCUUCCCGGAGCUGGACUACCGGGCGGAGCCGCCCGUGCAGAGCGUCUACGCCCGGGACGUGCACGGCGUCGAGUGGACGUUCCGCCACAUCUACCGGGGCACCCCGCGCCGCCACCUGCUCACCACGGGCUGGAGCAACUUCGUCAACAAGAAGAAGCUCCUGGCCGGCGACUCCAUCGUCUUCCUGCGCGGCGAGAAUGGCAGGGUCCACGUGGGCCUGCGCCGCGCCAAGCGCGGCUUCGGCGCCGGCGGGGCCGGAUGCGACGACGGCUCCCCCUCCCUGUCCGGUUGGGACCCCUACGGGGCCCUGGCGCGGGGCAAUGCCGGCGCCGGCGCGCGCUCGCCGAGCGGCAAGGUCCCGCCCGAGGACGUGGUCGCCGCCGCGAGGCUGGCCGCCGCCGGGCAGCCGUUCGAGGUGGUGCACUACCCGCGCGCCAGCACGCCCGAGUUCUGCGUGCGCGCGGCCGCGGUGAGGGCGUCCAUGCAGGUGCCGUGGUGCCCCGGCAUGCGGUUCAAGAUGGCUUUCGAGACCGAGGACUCGUCGCGGAUCAGCUGGUUCAUGGGCACCAUCUCCGGCGUCCACGCCGCCGACGCCGCCCGCUGGCCGCAGUCGCCCUGGCGGCUCCUCCAGGUGACCUGGGACGAGCCGGAGCUCCUGCAGAACGUCAAGCGCGUGUGCCCGUGGCUGGUCGAGCAGGUCUCGAGCAUGCCCAACCUCCACCUGCCCAACUUCUCGCCGCCGCCGCGCAAGAAGCAGCGCCUCCCGGAGUUCCCCUUCGAGGGCCAGCCGCUUUUCGACCCGCCCUUCCCGCCCGCCCGCCCGCUCCCUCCGCUGGCGCCCCACCCGCGCCCCCACCACGACCACGGCGGCCUCAUCCCCUUCUUCCCCUUCCCGGACAGCAGCGCUGCUGCAAGCAUACAGGGAGCCAGGCAUGCGCAACUCGCUCCAUUCUUUUCGGAUCUCCACAUCGGCAACCUGCAGCAAAGCUUGCUGUUCUGCGGCGUCCGCCCCGCCGAUCACCACGCCGCCCCCGCCGCGCCGAGGAUCAGCACCGACCUGGCAAUCGGCAACCCGCCGCCCCGCCGCGACGCGCCGCGCUCUCCACCAGCUGCCGCCGACAAGGCCGACGACGUCAAGCCGGUGGGGAUAAUGCUUUUCGGGCGGGCGAUACUGACCGAGGAGCAGAUGAAGAGCAGCAGCCCGACCUCGCCGGGAGCCACCAGAAAAAGGUCGCCCAACACACCGGAUCGCUCCGGCUCCGGCUCCGGCGUCACCGAGGGCAGCCCUGCAAAGAACAACUUUGGGCUGGAGCCCGGGCACGGGCAGUGCAAGGUGUUCGUGGAGUCGGACGCCGUCGGCCGGAACCUCGACCUCUCGGCGCUGGGCUCGUUCGAGGAGCUGUGCGCCCGCCUGUCCCGCCUGUUCCGCAUCGACGACGCUGACCUGAGGAGCCACGUGCUGUACCGCACCGCCGCCGGCGAGGUGAAGCACGUCGGCGAUGAGCCUUUCAAUGCGUUCGUGAGAUCAGCGCGGAGGAUCACAAUACUGGGUGACGCCGGCAGCGACAGCACGGGGAGCCAAUGAGCAGUCCCCCGAGACCAGCUGCAAAUAACUUAGGGCGGCGCUACACUCCUAGGACGCGCGCAAUAAGCCGGGUGCACGGCUGAAGGAGCUAGCUGCAUGCGGUUUUCUUCUUCCGAUCGGCAGGCCUAGGGAGUUCACAGCUUAGCCAAGGGAGCUAGGCUGAUGCGUGUGUUCAGCUAGGAUGUUGAAACUCGAAGCUCUGUGCCGGUUCAGAAGCAAGGCCGGCUGCUCCUAGUCCUGGGCUCUGUUGGCAUCCCGACCCGGUGGCAGGGAGACAGGAGCAGCAGGCAGGUGGCCGGGCCAGCGAGCCAGAUCCUGGGCCUCCUGUUGCGUAUCCCUUGCUGCCUUUGAUGCUGCUCUGGUGAGUGGUGAUGCCUCCAGUCCAACCAGGGGCCUGCCUGUCCUUUGCCUGCCGCGGCAAAAUAAUUGUGCUGCUUGCCCGUUUCGCUCCCGGGAAUAGGAUCCACUCCAACAGUAGUGUAGUGCCGCUCCCACUGCCGCCCUGUUCAUCGUUGCUUGUUUGUUCCUGCUGCUGAUAAGUUCUUGCCUGCUGCUACCACUGGGUGCUGGUUCUUGUCUUCUUGGAGCUUUGCUCUACUGCUAGCUCCGGGUGCUGGACGACUGAUCAGCGAGUACGUGAU
Molecule: RNA transcript, 2978 nt
Organism: Panicum virgatum (switchgrass)
Lineage: Eukaryota; Viridiplantae; Streptophyta; Magnoliopsida; Poales; Poaceae
Gene name: auxin response factor 8-like
Exons: 5
Source: RefSeq, a predicted model, not a curated record